Molecule: long non-coding RNA, 1824 nt
Filed under: Mus musculus (house mouse)
Lineage: Eukaryota; Metazoa; Chordata; Mammalia; Rodentia; Muridae
Description: long non-coding RNA chr1:58757056-58758880
Source: RNAcentral
AGUGAUGGAUGGUGUCAGGAGGUGGAUGUGGUCCUGGUGUGGAGAAGGCCCCACUUUUUUCCCUUAGCUAGUUGUCUAGUAAGAUAUUUCUCGGGGCUGGUGAGAUGGCUCAGUGGGUAAGAGCACCCGACUGCUCUUCCAAAGGUCCAGAGUUCAAAUCCCAGCAACCACAUGGUGGCUCACAACCAUCUGUAACAAGAUCUGACUCCCUCUUCUGGAGUGUCUGAAGACAGCUACAGUGUACUUACAUAUAAUAAUAAAUAAGUCUUUAAAAAAAAAAAGAUAUUUCUCCUUACUUUCAUAGUAGGAUCUUUGGUUACUUCUUUGUUCCUUUUGUAGACAGAAUUGAGAUUUUUGUUUUUCACCGACUUUGGGGUUUUUUCUGAAAUAUUUUAGACAUAUUAAAAGAUAAUUAUGUAUGGAAGACAAUGAAUACCUGUUUUAAAUAAAAUGUUCUAAACUUGUAUGUGAAUACUCAUAAUAUAGUUCUUUAAGGCACUGAUCUUUAAGUGAUAUAUACCCUAAAAUAUUUCAAACUAAUAGUUAGCCAAGCAUAUGGUUAAGUUUAUAGUUAUGAUGGGCUACCAAGAGAUUCUGUCACUAUUAACAUUUUAUGUAUAAAUAAGAACAUAUAUUAAUUAACAGGCAUUUAAACACUUGGUCUCCAGGUGUGCUGUUUGAAAGGUGUGGCCUCGCUAGAGGAACUGUUACUGGGGGACAGGGACAGGCUUUGAGGUUUCAAAGGCUUAUACCAUUUCCAGUUUGCUCUGUAUUUAUUGAAUAUACUAUUGUAUAAUGUAUAUCAUAUUGUAUAUAUUGUAAUAUAUAUAAAAAUAUUUAUUGGAGGUAAAAUGAGAAAACUGAGAAGCAUGUAUUCCACAUGUGUGCUCUGUGGAGGACAUUUCAUAUUCAGAUUGUAACCGUAGAUGUUAUGGCUGGAGUUCUAACUCUCACAGCUAUGGAGAUAAUAUACAGUAGGAGGUAGCUGAGUGGUGAACAAGAGACAGAAUCAGCCAGGCAUGGCAGUUCCUACAGAGGCAGGAGGAUUGCCACAAGUUUGAGGCCAGACUGUGUCAUGCUCCAUCCCUGGUGAAAAGGGAGCAGAAUUAACAAACUGCCCCAGAUUACCCUUGGACAUGAAGGGAAAUAACGGGAUUUAGGGGCAGCAAGAUGGCUCGCUCAGUGGUAAAGGUGUUUCCUGCCAGGUCUGAACACUGAAUCCCCAGGAAGGAGUGCUCCAGCGUCAGAAAGCUGUCCACCGAUCUCCGCAAGGGUGCACGACCCAUGCACACACCCACCCACACACACACAGAGAAAACAUUGCCAGGAUGAGGGUCAUUUUAGACACUGUAAUAGUUUGCAUAUUGCACAUCUGUGAUGCUUUGAGUUAAUUUUGUUAAAAGCUAAGAUUCGUUUGCAGAUUUUUUUCAUGAUUUUUGGCUUGUUCUGCAUCAUGUACUGAAAGAGCAUUUUCCAGUGAAUUGCUUUGAUGCUUUUCAGAGGUCAGUGGGUUGUGUUUGCAGGGCCUAUUUGUGAACUUAAUUGUAUUCUGUUGAUUCACUGAUGUGUUAUUUCAGAAUCAUACCAUCUCGGUUGCCAUAGCUUACAUUAAGCCCUGAUGUAAACGAUGCUGGGGGAAUAGAGAGUUCUGCUGGAAUAUGUUUUCUUUUUUGUUCUGUGGGGGGGUCUUUUUUUUUGUUUUAGGGUCUCACUAUGUAACUCACGUGUGGGAUUUAUCUUCUGCCUCUGUCUGCUUGCUGAGAUUCUAGGCAUAAUUGCUCUGUUUCAUUUUAAGGAGUCAUUACAUUAAAGAUUAUUUCUUUU